UCAUAUUCUUACUGAAUUCAUUCAACAUGAAGUUCUUACAAGUUGUACUACUCGCUCUAGCGGCGCUCGUGGCUUCUGUGGCUGGUGCAAUCCCGAUGAUACAGAAUCCUGUCGUAAACAUGCGCGAUGCUGACCCGAAUUUUAUAACGGUUCCUCCAAACUGCCCUCCUGGUCAGGUGAUGGGUCCAGAUGGAGUUUGCCGUGAACCCUGGUAGACUGCGGCUGCAGUCGCUCAUGCUGGACUCCAGCAGAUGCUAAACUUGCAAAUAAAUAACGGAAUAAAA
Helicoverpa armigera (cotton bollworm) is the source of this 284-nucleotide long non-coding RNA. RefSeq lists it as uncharacterized. NCBI's taxonomy places the organism in Eukaryota, Metazoa, Arthropoda, Insecta, Lepidoptera, Noctuidae. The record is from RefSeq and is a predicted model, not a curated record. The transcript is spliced from 2 exons.